This 147-nucleotide unclassified non-coding RNA is filed under the name uncultured Pseudocercosporella. Its description in RNAcentral is "sequence contains ITS1". The record is from RNAcentral. Lineage: Eukaryota; Fungi; Ascomycota; Dothideomycetes; Mycosphaerellales; Mycosphaerellaceae.
CCGAGUGAGGGCCCCCGGCCCGACCUCCAACCCUUUGUGAACCCCAUCUCGUUGCUUCGGGGGCGACCCUGCCGCUCCGGCACCGGCGCCCCCGGAGGACACCCAACACUGCAUCCAUGCGUCGGAGUGAUUUUGUAAAUCAAAACA